This 468-nucleotide ribosomal RNA is filed under the name uncultured bacterium. Its description in RNAcentral is "partial 16S ribosomal RNA". It matches the Rfam family "Bacterial small subunit ribosomal RNA", at positions 28 to 507 of the family's 1533-position model. The record is from RNAcentral.
GACGAACGCUGGCGGCGUGCUUAACACAUGCAAGUCGAACGGAAAGGCCCUGCUUUUGUGGGGUGCUCGAGUGGCGAACGGGUGAGUAACACGUGAGUAACCUGCCCUUGACUUUGGGAUAACUUCAGGAAACUGGGGCUAAUACCGGAUAGGUGCUCCUGCUGCAUGGUGGGGGUUGGAAAGUUUCGGCGGUUGGGGAUGGACUCGCGGCUUAUCAGCUUGUUGGUGGGGUAGUGGCUUACCAAGGCUUUGACGGGUAGCCGGCCUGAGAGGGUGACCGGCCACAUUGGGACUGAGAUACGGCCCAGACUCCUACGGGAGGCAGCAGUGGGGAAUAUUGCACAAUGGGCGGAAGCCUGAUGCAGCAACGCCGCGUGCGGGAUGACGGCCUUCGGGUUGUAAACCGCUUUCGCCUGUGACGAAGCGCGAGUGACGGUAAUGGGUAAAGAAGCACCGGCUAACUACGUG